GCCAGGCGUGGUGGCUCACGCCUGUAAUCCCAGCACUUUAGGAGGCUGAGGCAGGCGGAUCACCUGAGGUCGGGAGUUUGAGACCAGCCUGACCAACAUGGAGAAACCCUGUCUCUA
Molecule: unclassified non-coding RNA, 117 nt
Organism: Pongo abelii (Sumatran orangutan)
Lineage: Eukaryota; Metazoa; Chordata; Mammalia; Primates; Hominidae
Rfam family: Metazoan signal recognition particle RNA
About the family: The signal recognition particle (SRP) is a universally conserved ribonucleoprotein. It is involved in the co-translational targeting of proteins to membranes.
Source: Ensembl